UCAGAGCACAGGGGAAGGUGUCAGGAGGUGGACGGGGGCCAAGACUCCGAGUGCUCACCUCCGUGGUCAGGGCCAGGGCUCCUCUACAGCUCUCGAUGACCACAAUUGUUCUGUUUCCACGCACUAAGGGGGAAGGGGUAGGCAGGCAGAGGAAGUGAAGCAGGAGCCCAGUAAGAUUCCUGAAAAGCAGAUAGAACCAGAAUUCCUCUGGAGGUGAAGAAUCUGUUCAGAGGAACAACAUGGCUGUUAGCUUCGGAAAGAAGAGGGGAGCCCGAAAGCUGAUGCAGCUGGAACAGCUGGAACCCGGGAACUGGGAACUGUCUUCACAUCAUGGUACUUGACGCUCCGGAAGNUGGAAGGGGAUGACUGUGAUCUAUCCUCUGAGAUGGUAGACAAAGCAAUGGAAUAAGACUCAAAAUGGACGUCUCUUUGCGCUCCCUGACUUGCCCUUGAUGACGUGACACUGCUGGUAAUUGCAUCAUUUAGUGGAAUGCUUCUGUUGAUGUGUUCUGUGUGGAGUUAUUCUGGAAAAUGUAUUGUAAACCCUA
RNAcentral lists this long non-coding RNA (548 nucleotides) under Ailuropoda melanoleuca (giant panda). RNAcentral's name for it is "lncRNA (ENSAMEG00000027762.1)". The record is from RNAcentral. Lineage: Eukaryota; Metazoa; Chordata; Mammalia; Carnivora; Ursidae.